GAGGGUAUAGCUCAUAGUGGUAGAGUGCAUACUUAACAUGCACAAGGUCCUGGGUUCUAUCCCCAGUACCUCCU
This 74-nucleotide transfer RNA is filed under the name Camelus bactrianus (Bactrian camel). It matches the Rfam family "tRNA". From Rfam's summary of the family: Transfer RNA (tRNA) molecules are approximately 80 nucleotides in length. Lineage: Eukaryota; Metazoa; Chordata; Mammalia; Artiodactyla; Camelidae. RNAcentral also lists the same sequence under 2 other names. The record is from Rfam by way of RNAcentral.